UCGAAACCUGCACAAGCAGAACGACCCGCGAACUCGUUUACCAACCCGGGGGGUCGGGGCCCGGCGCGAGCCUCGCCCCGCCCCCCAAACGUCGGGAUGCUAUCCCGCCCCACCCGGGGCGGYGGUCGCCKCCCGGCGCCAACGAACCCCGGCGCGGAUUGCGCCAAGGACCAUGUAUGCUAAGCGCGUCCCGCGGCCCCCGGUCGUCCGGGGGGAGCGGCGACGCGUCRAAAGAAAACAAAACGACUCUCGGCAACGGAUAUCUCGGCUCUCGCAUCGAUGAAGAACGUAGCGAAAUGCGAUACUUGGUGUGAAUUGCAGAAUCCCGUGAACCAUCGAGUCUUUGAACGCAAGUUGCGCCCGAAGCCAUCCRGCCGAGGGCACGUCUGCCUGGGCGUCACGCAUCGCGUUGCCCCCUCCCCCCGCGGGAGGGGGCGGAUGUUGGCCUCCCGUGCGCUGCGAAGCGCGCGGCUGGCCUAAAUGCGGAGCCCGCGGCGAAGGAGCCGCGACGAUUGGUGGUAUGCAUCGCGUCGCGCGCCCCGCAGUCAGCCGGCGCUCGUAGGACCCGAGGGGAUGCUCCCCGAAAACCCUUGCGACCCC
This 600-nucleotide ribosomal RNA is filed under the name Antigonon leptopus (chain-of-love). RNAcentral's name for it is "eukaryotic LSU rRNA". The stretch from base 245 to 400 matches the Rfam family "5.8S ribosomal RNA". The record is from RNAcentral. Lineage: Eukaryota; Viridiplantae; Streptophyta; Magnoliopsida; Caryophyllales; Polygonaceae.